This 210-nucleotide ribosomal RNA is filed under the name uncultured Streptococcus sp. RNAcentral describes it as "partial 16S ribosomal RNA". It matches the Rfam family "Bacterial small subunit ribosomal RNA", at positions 1175 to 1382 of the family's 1533-position model. Lineage: Bacteria; Bacillati; Bacillota; Bacilli; Lactobacillales; Streptococcaceae. The record is from RNAcentral.
GGGGAUGACGGUCAAAUCAUCAUGCCCCUUAUGACCUGGGCUACACACGUGCUACAAUGGUUGGUACAACGAGUUGCGAGUCGGUGACGGCGAGCUAAUCUCUUAAAGCCAAUCUCAGUUCGGAUUGUAGGCUGCAACUCGCCUACAUGAAGUCGGAAUCGCUAGUAAUCGCGGAUCAGCACGCCGCGGUCGAAUACGUUCCCGGGCCUU